GACGAACGCUGGCGGCGUGCCUAAUACAUGCAAGUUGAGCGCUGAAGGUUGGUACUUGUACCAACUGGAUGAGCAGCGAACGGGUGAGUAACGCGUGGGGCAUCUGCCUUUGAGCGGGGGACAACAUUUGGAAACGAAUGCUAAUACCGCAUAAAAACUUUCAACACAAGUUUUAAGUUUGAAAGAUGCAAUUGCAUCACUCAAAGAUGAUCCCGCGUUGUAUUAGCUAGUUGGUGAGGUAACGGCUCACCAAGGCGAGGAUACAUAGCCGACCUGAGAGGGGGGGCGGCCGGCGUGGGAGUGAGACACGGCCCAAUCGCCUAGGGGUGGCAGCCGUAGGGAUUCGUGGGCAAGGAGCGGAAGACUGACCGAGCUAGGCCGCGGGAGUGAAGAAGGUUGUCGGGUCGUAAAACUCGGUUGGUAGGGAAGAACGUUGGUGAGAGUGUAACGCUCAGCAAGUGACGGUAACGACCCAGAAAGGGACGGCUAACUACGUG
Molecule: ribosomal RNA, 497 nt
Filed under: uncultured bacterium
Lineage: Bacteria
Description: partial 16S ribosomal RNA
Rfam family: Bacterial small subunit ribosomal RNA
Source: RNAcentral